Oreochromis aureus is the source of this 684-nucleotide long non-coding RNA. RefSeq lists it as uncharacterized. The transcript has 2 exons. Lineage: Eukaryota; Metazoa; Chordata; Actinopteri; Cichliformes; Cichlidae. The record is from RefSeq and is a predicted model, not a curated record.
CUCACAUGAAGAGAGUGAAGUGAGGAGUUUGCUGCAGUGUCUGCCUUAUAUCUCACAGCUCAGUGUUGAUCCUCUGAGGUCACGUCGUCAUAAAGCAGUCAGGAUCUUUGUGAGUCUGUUCUGUGCAGCAGCAGAGAGAGAGCAGCAGACAGGAGAGAAGAUCCUGGAGCUGUUAGCAUCAGUGUGCACAUAUCAAACAUUCCCUCUUCAUGAGAGACACAGAAAUAAGUAUUAUCAGAGUGACUUCCUGUUGGAUCUGUACUCCCAUGUGAAGGACUGUGAGACUAAAACAGGUCUGAGUGUCCUUCCAUCAUUACAGUCAGUUUUCCAGUCAGCUCCUGCAGUCUGGUCCAUAAAGCUCUCAGAGAGAAAGACCUCCAUCCUCCUGGAGGUGCUGAAACUCCAACCAGAGAAGAAACAAGUGGAGCUGAGACGCUGCUCACAUGAAGAGAGUGAAGUGAGGAGUUUGCUGCAGUGUCUGCCUUAUAUCUCACAGCUCAGGUAAAUAACAUGCUCUUCACACAAGUCGAAAAGAUGUGCUGUGAAAACAAGUGAUGGAAAUAUUUGAAACUCCAUGAAUUGUAAAGUGAUGAUUUUGACUUGUUGUUAUUUUCUAUGAAUAUCAGAUGACUUUUAAUGCUGAAACAGGACAACAGGAUCUAAAAUAAAGACGUUCUCAUCAGA